CUAUGUAUGGUUACGUCAUGGG
Molecule: non-coding RNA, 22 nt
Filed under: Arabidopsis thaliana (thale cress)
Lineage: Eukaryota; Viridiplantae; Streptophyta; Magnoliopsida; Brassicales; Brassicaceae
Source: RNAcentral